Macaca mulatta (Rhesus monkey) is the source of this 5397-nucleotide non-coding RNA. Lineage: Eukaryota; Metazoa; Chordata; Mammalia; Primates; Cercopithecidae. The record is from RefSeq and is a predicted model, not a curated record.
AUUUGUGGAAACUAAAAAUCAAAAUAAUUAAACUCAUGGAGAUACAGAGUAGAAUGGUAGUUACCAGAGGCUUGGAAGUGAAGUGGGUGUAGGGAGGAAAAGGGAUGGUUAAUGAGUACAAAAAUAUAGUUAGAUAGAAUAAAUAAGAUGUAGUAUUUGAUAGCACAACAGUAUUAUUAAUGACAAUGGUAAAGGAAUCAGAGCUGUUAUUUUCUAGGAAUGAAUGUGUUAAUGGAGUGAACAUCAACAGCAGAUUUCCAUGGUAACCUACAGACUUCAAAAACUGUUAAUUUCUAACACAUGAACAACUUCUGGAAGGUCACGUACGUGUGUAUGUGUGUGUAUGUGUGUACAAUGUGUUUUAUAAAUUUACAUUAUUGAGUCAUUGAUCGCUUGCAGUGUGUUAGCAGCUUUAGAAAAGGUAGUGAUACGGAGCUCAAGGACACUAAAUUCCUAUAUCAAGGGUUUCUUAACAUUAAUCACUUUUUCUCUCUUCAAAAACCAAGUAAAAUGACCUCUUGAAAUAGCUGUAGUAUAAUCCAAUUUACAGUUUCAUAGAAAAUGUCAAAGAAAAACGUCUAUUUUGUUCCUGUUCUCCAUAAGUAAUAAUAUAUCUCAUCUGAAGGCUCUAGGAGAAAAAAAAGGAAUAAAAUAAAAGCAACUGAUAUCUCUGCCAAAAUAUGUGAUCUGUGGAAGCAAGUUCAACAAUAGUGGUAACUAAUAUAAAAUAACUUGAAACAAGUUUAAUCAGUUGUAAAUUAUGUAUCUGAAGUUAUUGUAUUUGUAGUUCAUAUUAAUAGUCUAGAUUUGAGAAAUAUCUCUUUAAUGCACAUUGAUGGCUUGAAAUAACAUCUAUGGUUUUUUUCCUUCUCUUUGUCAUUCUGACAUUUUUCCUCCUUCCUUCUUUACCUUUUGAUUUUGAAUCAUGAAAUUUCCAAUUUGAAACCAUAUUUGACCUAUUAAAACAGCAGUUUUGUAUGGUUCAAAGUACAUAAGACAUGAAAUAAUUCUUAGGUGAUAUUUCAAGACAAUAAUCUGAUGUUAAUUUCCCAAAUAUCAAGAUGGUAUUUAAUCAUAUUUCUAAAGAUCUUCCACUGAAAGGUGUCUUGUACUAUGAGCUACAUGUAAGAUAUAGGCUAGUUGCUAAGUGAGCAGAAACAGUAUAAUUAGGGUUAUAGUGGUAUGCGGGUCAGGAAUAUAGCAUGAUUUUUAAAUCCUUGCAUUAUUUUGUAAUGCAUGUAUGCUGAAGAAGGUUAAGAAAGGCACCGGGAAUUCGUGUCCACUCUUCUAACCAUUGCAUUAUUGGCCCUAACCUAUUAAACUAUAUGUUUACCUGAGAUAUAUAAAGAAAUGCUGUCAAUGUAAGUAUACUUCCAAAUUCUUCUUUUCUGCUGAUUCACCAAUUCAAGAAGUACUUUCUCACAUGUGCUCGGGAUGUAGUCUGCCAGGUCCAAGCUGGCCUUCUUGAAUUGCUACCGUGCCACUUCCUUUGGUGACUGAGACUCAAGAGAUCCAUUUUGCUCCUCUCUAUUCAAAAGGAUUUCUCUGGAAAUUCUGCUACCUUGGUAUAAAAUCCAAAACUCAUACAUGACCCCUGGAACUUAGGAUAUUCCUCACCACUGCCUGAUUAUCACAUAUCCCAGGAUCUUGACAUAUCUCCACACAAGUUCUCAGUGUGAAUAACAUUGGCUGUAGCAGCUAUGGUCAAUGUCAUUGUCACUGAGAACUUGCAGGCCUGUUUUGCUGUUCCCUUCCAGCCUAUCUCCACAUAGCUAAGAAUGGCUGGCCACCCCCAUUAGGACUAGAAGGAGGAAGAUUUUCCCCAUCCCUAGGCCAAAGAGCCACAAACUAGAAUCCAUUUUAUUUUAGGGGAAAUACUCUCAUUACCCAGUAAUAUACGCUCUUAUUCUGCAGUUUCAACAAGACAUUAACAACACUGUAUGUACAAUCUCCUACCUUUGGGCCUCAUCUUUAGCCUUCUUGUUUACAGAAUCACAGAAUUUUGGUCCUCAGCAAUAAUUAUAGUUUGUCUUUCUUAUUUUAAAGGUGAGGAAUUCAAAGACCACCAUGUUGCUGUUUUCCCUUACAACUAUAUUGAGGCUUGGUCAGGAUUUGUGUAGAAAGCGCACAGCAGGACUGAGCCUAUGCAUUCAAAGUCUUGAGUACCCCUACAAAGGAAGAGGACACAAACGAAAAAUGUUCCCUCAUACCAAGGAUUGUCCUGAAAUCCAAGACCGUAUUUUAUGAGAUAAGUUAAAAAUCACAUUACUAAUUACCAAUAUUGAGUAAAUUAAGGGGAAGAAUAUUACAUUAUGAAACUAACCAAAUAGCAUAAUCUUAUUGCUAAUUCCCCCUCUCCAUUGUUUUACUGCCUAUAUGAUUCAUGACAUUUAUAAAGCAGAUCCAGGAUUACCUCAAAAGUGCUUUUAAAAGUGAAAGAAUGCUUUUAAAAUGAAAAAACAAAAAACGAAAAAAAAAAACCAAGGAAAAGAAUUAUUUUAUUCUCCUCUUGGUGGAGAGUAGAACUGAAUAAUUACGGUGAGAUGCUGCCUUUAUCUCUACUGGAGGUUGUUGGAGUCACACUGGAGCUAAGAACUAGGGACCACAUCCUGGCCUUUGAUUUGAGGACCCUCUUGUGCAUGUUUAAUUUCCCACAACUCCAGAAUCACUUAUAACAUUGCAACUUUUCAUAUGUAAAAGUAAAAUUAAUAAACAUGUGUUACUCUUUAUGUUUGGGUUUCUUAGAAGACAUACAUCAGAGAGAGAGAGAUUACAGUAUGCAAUCUCUCAGCUGCCAACAGAACACAGAUGGGCUUGGGAACACAGAAUGAUCCAGAUCCGCAGGACUCGAGCAAUCCGUGGGAAGUUUGGACAGAAGAUCUGAUGCAUCAGACAGUAAAGGACUAUUGAAUGUUCCAUGAUAAAUGUGCUUGUUCUUUUGCCUGCAUGCCCUUGAAUAAAGACAUUUUGAUCUCCAGGGCCAACCUGAGAAACAUAUAAUUUAAUCUAGUUUUGAAAGAAGAGCCCUGCUACACAAACACUGGCUCACAAUGUUAAAAGAUAUCAACUGAAAUAUUGAAGGGCUUUCAUAUUUCAGUAAAUUGACUAUCCUAUGUGUUUGAUAUUUCCAUUUAAUUGAAUAUUUCUUAACUCAGUGAAAAAUGUAUGAGCCUGCUAUGAUAAAUUCAGUAUUGCAUAUGGGAAUUUCAAGUAUCUUUUAUUGAAUCUUAUUUCUUGAUCUCUCUCCUUUCAAAGAGAGAUACAAAAAGACCGUUAGCCUGCUUGCUUCUGUUUUUUUCUGCCCCAUCUCCACCUUUAUUCCCAAACUGUGGUUCACACAUUUAUUUCCAUUUUUAAAAAUUUUCUCUUGCUGCUGCCAUUCUCUUAUUACUCAUUUUUUAAAUACCUAGUCCACUUUCUUUACUUUUCUUUAAUGUCUGCCUCAGAGCUCAGCUUUUUUAGUUAAUUGACGAUAUCACUAGCCUUUAGUUCUGAGAGACUGAAUACACAGUCACACCACACAUAGAAAUAGAAUUCUAACCCACAAACUGCAAUAACCAGAGCAAGACCACAGCCUCCACGGCAAUUAGCCCAAAACGGUCAGUACCUGAUCAAUAAUGGACAACUUUCACAAUUUUUAGCUGCCUUCCUCUACUUCCAACUUUGGACCAACUGAAGAAAGACAAAUAUGCUGCCUAAUCACCCUCAUAGGAUACUUUUCUUUCAGUUAUCGGGCUUCCGACUCCUUUAUACCAAUAGCCUUCAAUCAAGCAGACCCGAAGUCUUCCCUUUUUUCCAUUCUAAAGCUUUCCUACUCCUCUGCCUGCCUUUGAGUCUCUGCCAAACAUAAAUAAUGGCGAUUGACUUCCUUACUAUGCUAGCUCUGAAUAAAUAUCCUUUUCUUGUUCGCAUCUGGGUACACUUCAUUUGUUUCCAUAGUUCUUUCAUUCUGUGAACUAUCCAAUUAAAAACUUUUUAAAAUAAAUACCAUGCUCUUGGCUUUUCUGCAAUCAUCAACUCUCUUUAGCUUCUUCCUUCAAUUCCACACCUUAUCCAGAUGCAAGCUAGCUUUUAGGAAGUUUUAGGAGGUACUUUUUCACUACAUAUAUUUUAUUUGACUGAAAAAUGAUAAAAUAUCAUUUAAAUUGAAUGUACACCAACUGUGGCUCCUGAAUAAUAAAAACAUAAAUUUGUAUCCAUAAGCAUAAUAGGACAUUUAAUAAUCCUUGUUACAUAUAUUGAUGAACAUAUUCUGUAAAGUCAUUUAGUCUUGUGCCAAAUAGAAACUAUAAAAAUAUAAUGAGCUUUUUGUCAAAAACUGUUAUGUAAGGCCUUGGAAGUUUCUAGUAGUUCAGUGCUUUCUAUUCCAUUCACGUUUUUGUUGAAAUAAAAUGGAAAAGAAAAUAACCUUGUAUAUGCAUAUUAGAACUAACAGGUAAGGGUUUCCAUGGAUACUUUUAUGCAGCCAAAGGGUUCGUGUGUGGAAAAAGGCAUUCAUUUCUAGUUCUAAGAGAUUCUGUUCUGAUAAGGAACUCCUGCCAAUCAUUUUAUGUCUUGACUUUCUAACAGAAUAAAAAUAAUAUAUAUCAUGUGUGUUAUGUGUAAGUCAUGAGAUAGUUCUAUCUAAAUAACCUUUUCAAUCAUCUGGCCUAUUCGAGUAAUACCUUGGAAUUUUGUUAAAGCUUGGAAAAUCUACGAAGAUUUUGUAAGCAACUUUUAAUGAGUUUAUUGCUUUCUAGAUAUGUUCGAGGAAUCUUUUUUCUCUCUUUUUCUUGGUCAUACUUAGGCAGUUUAAAUUAACCAACUACUAGUGCUAGAAUAAAAGUUUAUCUUUUACUUAAAAUAGCUUUGUUAUCUUUUAUCUUUAAUUUUACCUUUAAUUUUUACCUUUUUAUCUUUAAUUUUAUCUUGAAGAAAUUUCAAAUAUCUUUGAUUGAAUCUUAUUAGUUAAUAUCCUACCCAAAUGAAAUUUUCUGCAAGUUUUCUUUUUAUCUUUUUGAGAAACAUGUCAAAAAAGAUUUCACACCAUGAAACUGCUAGGUUAAAUUUUAAGCCAUACAGUUUUAUGAGAAGCUUGAUGAGGUUCUGUGACCUUUUAAUGAGCGAAUUCAUUCUAAACAACAUGUUUUAAAUGUAGCACUAUUGUUUUACACUGACUUGCGCCUAAGCAAUUAUAAAUUGUGAGCAUGGCCUGUAGAAUUGUUUUUAAAUAAAUAAUCUGAAAAAUCAUUUGAUCUUAGAUUUAAGAGUGAACUCUCAAAUACGGUUUGUUUUUACUAGUUAACAUAGACUCUGGAUAGCAGUGAAGUGUAAAUCAUGAUCAGAAUGGUAAACAAAGAGGCAAUUAAAAUAUCACUCAACUUCCAAACUGAUUAAAUAAUAAAUUUUUGCAACAAA